This 173-nucleotide ribosomal RNA is filed under the name uncultured Mycobacterium sp. RNAcentral describes it as "partial 16S ribosomal RNA". It matches the Rfam family "Bacterial small subunit ribosomal RNA", at positions 337 to 522 of the family's 1533-position model. The record is from RNAcentral. Lineage: Bacteria; Bacillati; Actinomycetota; Actinomycetes; Mycobacteriales; Mycobacteriaceae.
UCCUACGGGAGGCAGCAGUGGGGAAUAUUGCACAAUGGGCGCAAGCCUGAUGCAGCGACGCCGCGUGGGGGAUGACGGCCUUCGGGUUGUAAACCCCUUUCGAUCACGACGAAGCGAGAGUGACGGUAGUGAUAGAAGAAGCACCGGCCAACUACGUGCCAGCAGCCGCGGUA